AUUGAACGCUGGCGGAAUGCUUUACACAUGCAAGUCGAACGGCAGCACGGGGGCAGCCCUGGUGGCGAGUGGCGAACGGGUGAGUAAUACAUCGGAACGUGCCCGGUCGUGGGGGAUGACGUAGCGAAAGUUACGCUAAUACCGCAUACGAUCUGAGGAUGAAAGCGGGGGACCUUCGGGCCUCGCGCGAUCGGAGCGGCCGAUGUCAGAUUAGGUAGUUGGUGGGGUAAAGGCCUACCAAGCCGACGAUCUGUAGCUGGUCUGAGAGGACGACCAGCCACACUGGGACUGAGACACGGCCCAGACUCCUACGGGAGGCAGCAGUGGGGAAUUUUGGACAAUGGGCGCAAGCCUGAUCCAGCCAUUCCGCGUGCAGGACGAAGGCCUUCGGGUUGUAAACUGCUUUUGUACGGAACGAAAAGGCUCUGGCUAAUACCUGGGGCUCAUGACGGUACCGUAAGAAUAAGCACCGGCUAACUACGUG
RNAcentral lists this ribosomal RNA (484 nucleotides) under uncultured bacterium. RNAcentral describes it as "partial 16S ribosomal RNA". It matches the Rfam family "Bacterial small subunit ribosomal RNA", at positions 30 to 507 of the family's 1533-position model. The record is from RNAcentral.